UGAAUCAAUUGAUCAAUUGAUGUCUAAGAUAAGUAAUUGAAAAAUAGUUACUUAAUUAGAAUCCUUGAUCCAUUAAGGGGGAGCCUCCCACCGAUCUCCACUUACCUAGACAAUUUGAAAGAUUGUGUUUUGAAUAUGGUUACUUGGUGGUUUAGUUUAGCCCAUACCAAUUAGAUCAGUUAUUUGAUGACUAAUUAGAUGAGAUAUAAACCAAAUCUCUCUAUGAAUAUUAAGUCUAAAAGUCUUCUACCGUUGUAAAUAUGCGAACGUGCUACUGGUGUUGAUUAUUUUUGGCUGGUCACAGUGGUUCAAUUAAACCAAAAAUACGCAACCACUCUAUUAGCAAAAAAUUACUCCAGGA
RNAcentral lists this long non-coding RNA (361 nucleotides) under Elaeis guineensis (African oil palm). RNAcentral's name for it is "long non-coding RNA (EGUI_LNC046268)". Lineage: Eukaryota; Viridiplantae; Streptophyta; Magnoliopsida; Arecales; Arecaceae. The record is from RNAcentral.